UAUCAAUAAGCGGAGGAAAAGAAACCAACAGGGAUUGCCCUAGUAACGGCGAGUGAAGCGGCAACAGCUCAAAUUUGAAAUCUGGCGCAAGCCCGAGUUGUAAUUUGUAGAGGAUGCUUCUGGGCAGCGGCCGGUCUAAGUUCCUUGGAACAGGACGUCACAGAGGGUGAGAAUCCCGUAUGUGACCGGCGCGCACCCUCCACGUAGCUCCUUCGACGAGUCGAGUUGUUUGGGAAUGCAGCUCUAAAUGGGAGGUAAAUUUCUUCUAAAGCUAAAUACCGGCCAGAGACCGAUAGCGCACAAGUAGAGUGAUCGAAAGAUGAAAAGCACUUUGGAAAGAGAGUUAAAAAGCACGUGAAAUUGUUGAAAGGGAAGCGCUUGCAACCAGACUCCGCGGCGGUGUUCCGCCGGUCUUCUGACCGGUCUACUCGCCGCCGCGGGGCCAACAUCGUCUGGGGCCGCCGGACAAGACUGGAGGAAUGUGGCUCCCUCGGGAGUGUUAUAGCCCUCAGUGAUGCGGCGUGCCCCGGGCGAGGUCCGCGCUUCGGCAAGGAUGUUGGCGUAAUGGUUGCCAGCGGCCCGUCUUGAAACACGGACCAAGGAGUCUAACAUCUAUGCGAGUGUUCGGGUGUCAAACCCCUACGCGUAAUGAAAGUGAACGGAGGUGGGAGCUUCGGCGCACCAUCGACCGAUCCUGAUGUCCUCGGAUGGAUUUGAGUAAGAGCAUAGCUGUUGGGACCCGAAAGAUGGUGAACUAUGCCUGAAUAGGGUGAAGCCAGAGGAAACUCUGGUGGAGGCUCGCAGCGGUUCUGACGUGCAAAUCGAUCGUCAAAUUUGGGUAUAGGGGCGAAAGACUAAUCGAACCAUCUAGUAGCUGGUUCCUGCCGAU
RNAcentral lists this ribosomal RNA (889 nucleotides) under Pseudocercosporella sp. RH2.2. RNAcentral describes it as "eukaryotic LSU rRNA". It matches the Rfam family "Eukaryotic large subunit ribosomal RNA", at positions 41 to 965 of the family's 3401-position model. The record is from RNAcentral. Lineage: Eukaryota; Fungi; Ascomycota; Dothideomycetes; Mycosphaerellales; Mycosphaerellaceae.